This 476-nucleotide long non-coding RNA is filed under the name Bos indicus x Bos taurus (hybrid cattle). Its description in RNAcentral is "lncRNA (ENSBIXG00000001100.1)". The record is from RNAcentral. Lineage: Eukaryota; Metazoa; Chordata; Mammalia; Artiodactyla; Bovidae.
ACUAAAGCUACAGCCCUUCCUGGGAUCCUCGCGAUGGAGCUGAUGUGCCUGUUUGCAAGCUUACCUGUUUUGUUCAGCCAGCGCGGCGUGUCGCAGGCUCAUUUGAAUGUGAAGUUCAGCCACGGAGCAACCCUGAAGCAGCCUCGAGUCAUCUUGGAAGACUCCAGCCCGGAGCUGUGUGGGGACCGCUCCUCCUCAAGGGCAGUGGCCAAUUCCAGACAAAGAAAUUCAACAAACCCAACACACGCUCAAGUGUUUUAGCUCAGCGAUCUUUCCUCGGCCGACAGAGAGCACGAAAGAGCGUGGAGCCAAGUUUCCCGUGUCCGGGUCUUUGUUGCGGUUUUCUCGCCGACGCCCUGCAUCCUGGCGGUAGACGGUUUACCUGAGCCAUGAGCGACAUAGCACAUUUAUGGUUAUUGUAUUUUACAGGUUGAUAGAUUUUUAUAUUCUGUCCAAGUCAGGAUCUUACGCCACCU